GCAGUGGGGAAUAUUGCACAAUGGGCGCAAGCCUGAUGCAGCGACGCCGCGUGAGGGAUGACGGCCUUCGGGUUGUAAACCUCUUUCGCUCAUGGUCAAGCCGCAACUGUGGGUUGUGGUGAGGGUAGUGGGUAAAGAAGCGCCGGCUAACUACGUGCCAGCAGCCGCGGUAAUACGUAGGGCGCAAGCGUUAUCCGGAAUUAUUGGGCGUAAAGAGCUUGUAGGCGGUUUGUCGCGUCUGCCGUGAAAUUCUCUGGCUUAACUGGGGGCGUGCGGUGGGUACGGGCUGACUUGAGUGCGGUAGGGGAGACUGGAACUCCUGGUGUAGCGGUGGAAUGCGCAGAUAUCAGGAAGAACACCGGUGGCGAAGGCGGGUCUCUGGGCCGUUACUGACGCUGAGGAGCGAAAGCGUGGGGAGCGAACAGGAUUAGA
This 432-nucleotide ribosomal RNA is filed under the name Shewanella sp. M16. Its description in RNAcentral is "bacterial SSU rRNA". It matches the Rfam family "Bacterial small subunit ribosomal RNA", at positions 351 to 782 of the family's 1533-position model. The record is from RNAcentral. Lineage: Bacteria; Pseudomonadati; Pseudomonadota; Gammaproteobacteria; Alteromonadales; Shewanellaceae.